GGGCCGCUAGCUCAGGUGGUAGAGCAGCUGACUCUUAAUCAGCGGGUCCGGGGUUCGAAUCCCUGGCGGCCCA
This 73-nucleotide transfer RNA is filed under the name Deltaproteobacteria bacterium. Its description in RNAcentral is "tRNA-Lys". It matches the Rfam family "tRNA". Rfam says of the family: Transfer RNA (tRNA) molecules are approximately 80 nucleotides in length. Lineage: Bacteria; Pseudomonadati; Myxococcota; Myxococcia. The record is from RNAcentral.